RNAcentral lists this long non-coding RNA (1091 nucleotides) under Ursus maritimus (polar bear). Its description in RNAcentral is "lncRNA (ENSUMAG00000021569.1)". Lineage: Eukaryota; Metazoa; Chordata; Mammalia; Carnivora; Ursidae. The record is from RNAcentral.
GAAGCUAGCCUUGUGGGGAACGAUUAUGCUUCAGAUAUGCUGUGUGUGCGGUGUUAAGGGAACAUCCAGCUAGCUGUUGGAAGGGUGGGAGAGCAGCUCUGGAGAGAGGCAAGGUAGGAGAAUUCAGUUUGGCAACCAAAGAUCUGAAGGCAAUCCUGAAAGCUAUGGAAACAGGUGAGUUUAAAGAAAGUAUAGGAGAGCAAAGAGCAAAGAACUCUGGGAAGUGAGAAAACGGGGAAAAACCCAGACAAGGAAGGAACAAUUGAGUGUGAACCUCGAAUAAGCUACUUCCAUUUUCUGGCUCUUUAGUCUCUUCCGUUGUAAAAUGAAGGGGCUGGAGCUGGUAAGCUCCGGGGCUUUCAGCUGAGACAUUCUAUGCAUAAUCACAGAAGGUAGAAGAGAACAGAAUGCCAUGGAAACUGAACAAGAGAGCUUCCAAAAGAAGGCUUUAAGAGGUCACUUGCAUCCGACGCUGCGGAUGUGUCAGGGACUGAGGACUUAGGGGAAGCCGCUGUGCUUGGCGAUUCGCAGAUCCUCUCCACGGGCUGCGGUCCCCAGCAAAGUUGUCACAGGUGCCCAGUGCAGACGCCCAAGACCCCCCAGAAAUGCCUGAAAGCUCCCCACCCUAAUUGUGCCUCCCUGGAUUGUUCCCUCGGCGAGGCCGGCUCUUGGAGCCGGGCAGCUUGACCUUUGCUAGGAACUCAAGAGCUGCCUGCCGUUUGGAAAUGGAAUGGAAACAGAGGCCGAAGCCCUGCUGGCGUCUCUCCCUCACCCACCCCCAUCAUGCGCAAGGAAAAGCUGCAAGAACAGUGACGGGUUAAGCUCCUUAUAAGGAAGUGAGCCUCCUCUCUCCUCCCGCACGGCAGUCGUUUGGGGCUUCUAUGUUUUAAGGUGCACUGCAGAAACGAGCCCCGCCAGGAUUCGCCCAAACCAUUCCCCCAGGGGUGGGGGCCCACCAGGAGCCAAGGCAGAAAGGACGGGCGGGGCGGGGAGCGGGAAGGCGACGGAGCGAAGAAUUUGAGGGAUGAGUCAUCAAAAAGAAGCUGGGCGAGAGAGCGGAACUCGUCAUCGGCCCCGGGCAGGAGCCGCGC